Molecule: long non-coding RNA, 540 nt
Organism: Cyprinus carpio carpio
Lineage: Eukaryota; Metazoa; Chordata; Actinopteri; Cypriniformes; Cyprinidae
Source: Ensembl
CGCUGCUUUCAGAUUGAAAGAUAUCUUACAGUUGACUUUCAUUUGGGUGUGUUGACAAUGACCUCUGGAAAAGCAGGCUUUGGUGGAGGGAAAAGCAAAAUCAAUACUGGAGGCAAAUAGGAUACAAGAAACAGCAGUAUUUCCAACAAAUUCUGUUGCUGAGGUUAAUCUUCGCAGACAAGUCUGGUUCUGUGAUUUCCAGCAGAAGUUCACAGACAGACACCUUUUGCAGUAUGGUUUCCAUGGGAACAGGAGGAAAUAAUUUUCUUGGCCAGCUGUAUUGAAAUGAACAUCUGUAUGCUGUAUGUUGUCAUUACCUUUCAGGUGAUUUGCGCAUUAGAGGUUUCAGCUCAUGUUCAGCAAGCAUCUUCUAAACUAUAAUUCGCCCUUCUUUUCUCUAAUGCUGUCAUGUUGUAUUUGAAUAUGCUUUAUUCUCUGUGUAUGUAUACUUUUAUUCAUAUUUUAUUGGCAUCAAAUGAAUCUAUUUUAAAUAAAUGCUGUUCUUUUGAACAAGUAUUUAUAUUAAAAUAUAAACCAGUG